GCCUGGGUGGCGAAAUUGGUAGACGCAGUUGAUUCAAAAUCAACCGCCUUCGGGUGUGCCGGUUCGAGUCCGGCUCCAGGCACCA
This 85-nucleotide transfer RNA is filed under the name Pasteurella multocida. RNAcentral describes it as "tRNA-Leu". It matches the Rfam family "tRNA". From Rfam's summary of the family: Transfer RNA (tRNA) molecules are approximately 80 nucleotides in length. Their secondary structure includes four short double-helical elements and three loops (D, anti-codon, and T loops). Lineage: Bacteria; Pseudomonadati; Pseudomonadota; Gammaproteobacteria; Pasteurellales; Pasteurellaceae. RNAcentral also lists the same sequence under 2 other names. The record is from RNAcentral.